Long non-coding RNA from Tympanuchus pallidicinctus (lesser prairie-chicken), 1588 nucleotides. RefSeq lists it as uncharacterized. The transcript has 3 exons. NCBI's taxonomy places the organism in Eukaryota, Metazoa, Chordata, Aves, Galliformes, Phasianidae. The record is from RefSeq and is a predicted model, not a curated record.
UGCAGGAAGGAUCACGGUAAUCCUUCCUGCAGGUACCGAGUGGAGCAGAAUGGAAACCCAGAAAGGACAGCUGCUAAGUGCUGGUAAAACAAACAUCACAUGUUCCGUGGGGCUCCUACAAGGUCCCUAUGAGCUCCUGGCGUGCUUUCAAGUCCAAGCUGAGCAAAUGCAAGAUGACAAGAAGAAUAAGAUCUUGCUUAGCAGGGAGAGGAGCACUGAGCACUGAUCUGGGGGUGGCUGCUCCUGCAGUGCAGUGAUGUAUCACAAAAUUAGGUUCCCCUUUUGGAUGGCCUUCAAGGUGAGCAGAGAUGGGAGAGGACGGAGCUCAGUGCUGGGGCCCUGUCUCCCAGUGCUGGUGCAGCCUUGCCAUGGGCCGUGUCCUGGACCAGCAGCUUCCACCCUGGGCAAUCAGAGAACCAUGGGAACAUUAAGGUUGCAAAAAAGCUCUCUGCAUCCCAGUACGCCGUGCCCAUUGCCCACAUCAGUGCCACAUCCCUGCAGCUCUGAAACACCUCCAGAGAUGGUGAUCCCACCACUCCCUGGGCAGCUGUGCCGGUGCAGCACUGCUCUUACGAGCCUGAAAUUGUUCCUAACACCUAAGCUGAGAUGCAGAGGUUGAUACCAGCUGCUGCCGGCUUCCUGGUUUUGCUUGCAGCUGUCCCAGUGAAGCUGCACCUUUCCUUCAAACCCUCUGUGAUGUGCAGCAGGCACUACGGGUGGGACAUCAAACCCCACCAAGGCCUACAGGCAGCUGCAGGUGUGAGAAAAGAGGAACUGCGUGGGAGCUGCUGCUGGUUUGGCUCAGGUGGGUGGAAGGGAAGGGGCGAGCACAUCUGGGGGGCAGGAAUGGGUUUUUUCUUGAUGCAGUGGCUGUCCUUGUUCCAAAUCACUGCAUUGUGUGUUCCCUUUAAAAACAAGGGCGACGCAGCACGCUUCCUUGCUUUCUAAGAAAGGGUUUACUCAUGCUGAAGUCCUCACUGAACGCAGUGCUGAGCUCUGGGCGCUCUCCAGGUGUCACAGUCACUGCAUCCAGGAGCCACGGGUGUGGGCAGGGUGUGUUUGUGCAAGGGAUGGUCCUGGUGUCAGGAUGGGACCCCGCUUUGUCAGGGGGUGCUUUGCCUCUGGGAGCAGCAGAUCAGGGCUGGGGGCUGAGUGAGGAUGUGGAGUUAAAUCACUGCGUGGGAAAUCAGUCUGCAGAGCAGGGGGGGCUGGGUUUAGAUAAUUUUUAUGGCUGGGCUCCUCAUAUUACUGCAUAAAUAGUGAAAAGCAUUCUGAGGGGGUGGCUGACAGCAUGCCACAUCAAGGGUGCCAUACCCAGGGUUGUUGGGGUGCAGGAUGCAGUGCUGGCAGUAGCAGGCUGCUUACUGAAGCAGUGCUGAUUUAGAAGGACAAAAAAAUAAAGAGGUGAUUGCACUGGGAUGCGAUGAGCAGAUUGGAAAUCACACCACUGCGUGGCAUGGCUGAUUUGUGGCAGGGGCAGCAGGAUGCUCCUCCUGCAGCAAGGGCAUCCUGGGGCUCGUUGGCACUGCUUCCAAAUAAGCCAGACCUUGGUGUAGGUGUUCUCCCCAUUCACCCUCCUGGAUGGAAG